Xenopus tropicalis (tropical clawed frog) is the source of this 375-nucleotide long non-coding RNA. RefSeq lists it as uncharacterized. The transcript has 2 exons. Lineage: Eukaryota; Metazoa; Chordata; Amphibia; Anura; Pipidae. The record is from RefSeq and is a predicted model, not a curated record.
CAGAAUCCCAAAGCUGCUGGUCCCAGGAGGGUGUGCUUCAACAAAGACUGGGAAUUUCUGCGGUGUACCAGCAGGCACUGCCUGCACUGAAACAUCCACGUCACUGUUGUUUUUAGAGAACUUUUCAGCUGAGCAUUUGCUGUGAAAAGACUGGGAAAGUGUCAUCAGCCUGUUGCCUUGAUUGAACUGUGGAAAAUUAGGCAGAGGUACAAAACCGCAGGAUACGGCUUGCUUGUUGCUAAGUAGCAAUCAACAAAUUCUUUUAAAAUGAGGACUAUUGUAUAAAGGUUUAAGCACUUUCCUCUCAUUUAUUUGGGAACAAGUUUUACUGAGCUCUACAACCAUUUAAACUGUACUAUAAAAUGUUUUCAUGUC